Molecule: transfer RNA, 66 nt
Filed under: Marmota monax (woodchuck)
Lineage: Eukaryota; Metazoa; Chordata; Mammalia; Rodentia; Sciuridae
Description: tRNA.Ala
Source: RNAcentral
GUGGAUGUAGCUCAGUGGUAGAACACUUGCCUAGCACGCAGGAGGCCCUAUUCAAUCCCACCUACC